CCUACGGGUGGCAGCAGUGGGGAAUAUUGCACAAUGGGCGAAAGCCUGAUGCAGCAACGCCGCGUGAAGGAAGAAGGGUUUCGGCUCGUAAACUUCUAUCAACAGGGACGAAAGAAAUGACGGUACCUGAAUAAGAAGCCCCGGCUAACUACGUCCCAGCAGCCGCGUUAGUACGUAGGGGGCAAGCUUUAUCCGGAUUUACGGGGUGUAAAGGGUGAGUAGGCGGCAUGGUAAGCCAGAUGUGAAUGCCUUGGGCUUAACCCGAGGAUUGCAUUUGGAACUAUCAAGCUAGAGUACAGGUGAGGAAGGCGGAAUUCCUAGUGUAGCGGUGAAAUGCGUAGAUAUUAGGAAGAACACCAGUUGCGAAGGCGGCUUACCAAACUGUGACUGACGUUGAGGCACGAAAGCGUGGGUAGCAAACAGGAUUAGAUAACCCUGUAGUC
This 443-nucleotide ribosomal RNA is filed under the name uncultured bacterium. Its description in RNAcentral is "partial 16S ribosomal RNA". It matches the Rfam family "Bacterial small subunit ribosomal RNA", at positions 338 to 795 of the family's 1533-position model. The record is from RNAcentral.